This is a long non-coding RNA of Trachemys scripta elegans, 929 nucleotides long. RefSeq lists it as uncharacterized. Lineage: Eukaryota; Metazoa; Chordata; Testudines; Emydidae. The transcript has 3 exons. The record is from RefSeq and is a predicted model, not a curated record.
UGGACUUGGUGAUGUCUCGAGUUCCCUUCCAGCCCUACAUUUCUGUGACUCUAUGUUGACUGAGACAAUAUUACAGUAAAAUGUCUCCUUUGGGUACCCAGAUGGAGCUUCACAGUCUGCAUUAUCUUCCAUUUUCUGAUGUAUAGAAUACAAAUUAUUAGCAAAUGCACAUAGCCCCUUCCCCUGACCUAACUAGCCUCUGGGAGCGAGAUCUCAUCCCUAUUCUCUAGUGCCCCAUUUCAGUGCCAGCGAUGCCUGGCUAAUCUUUGAAUGUGGCACAAACACCAGGGAUAAAAGCACCUAAUUGACUAAGGAUCUAAGUCCGAUUGACUUUCAGGGGCACGUAGACCCCGAAAGGCCCAGAUCCUGAAAGAUAUGUGGACUCCGAACCCCCAUUGAUUUCCAUCUCAGCCUUAAGUCAUUUUUGAAAACGGGGCAUAGACUCCAAAAUAACAUAGGUCCUUUUGAAAGGUUUUUCCAAAAUCUCUCACUGAAAACAAACCCACAAACAAAAUAGCCAUCAAGUAAGAGUGACCUAUUUAUGUACAAAACACGUUAAUGUGGGCCUGGAAAAUCUGUUAUUCAAAUAAUGAAUUAUAUCUACAUUAUCUAAUGUUCCUUGGAGUAAAAUUUAUAUAAGUAGUAAGUCUCCCUUUUCUCUGGAGGUCUCUUUCAUGAGCUGUAUGUUCAGAGAUACCACCUUCAUUUCCAGAAAUUAAGAUCAUGUACCCUUUACCCUGGCAUAUUCCCUAAGUACCCAAUGUUCUUCCAAAGACUUCACUACUGGACAUGGUGAACUCCAACUCACCGAAUGUUCCCCAGCUAAUCUUGGUUUUGCCUACACAUGUGAGAAGAUGCAGUGCAAUGCAUGCAAAUGAGAUAUAGGUCAGUGAAAUGCACACCAAGAAAUCUCAUCCAUUUACAAUAAC